GUCUUCUUCAAUCCAAUUAAAAAUGUCACUUGUGUGACAGGAACAAAACACUGUAUAACUAUUCAAAGCUUAUACGACGUUUAGUAGUAAGGGGGUUAAUCUUUAAUGUCAUAUAGAU
Long non-coding RNA from Aricia agestis (brown argus), 118 nucleotides. RefSeq lists it as uncharacterized. The record is from RefSeq and is a predicted model, not a curated record. The transcript has 3 exons. Lineage: Eukaryota; Metazoa; Arthropoda; Insecta; Lepidoptera; Lycaenidae.